GAUGAACGCUGGCGGCGUGCCUAAUACAUGCAAGUCGAGCGAACGGACGAGAAGCUUGCUUCUCUGAUGUUAGCGGCGGACGGGUGAGUAACACGUGGAUAACCUACCUAUAAGACUGGGAUAACUUCGGGAAACCGGAGCUAAUACCGGAUGAUAUUUUGAACCGCAUGGUUCAAAAGUGAAAGACGGUCUUGCUGUCACUUAUAGAUGGAUCCGCGCUGCAUUAGCUAGUUGGUAAGGUAACGGCUUACCAAGGCAACGAUGCAUAGCCGACCUGAGAGGGUGAUCGGCCACACUGGAACUGAGACACGGUCCAGACUCCUACGGGAGGCAGCAGUAGGGAAUCUUCCGCAAUGGGCGAAAGCCUGACGGAGCAACGCCGCGUGAGUGAUGAAGGUCUUCGGAUCGUAAAACUCUGUUAUUAGGGAAGAACAUAUGUGUAAGUAACUGUGCUCAUCUUGACGGUACCUAAUCAGAAAGCCACGGCUAACUACGUGCCAGCAGCCGCGGUAAUACGUAGGUGGCAAGCGUUAUCCGGAAUUAUUGGGCGUAAAGCGCGCGUAGGCGGUUUUUUAAGUCUGAUGUGAAAGCCCACGGCUCAACCGUGGAGGGUCAUUGGAAACUGGAAAACUUGAGUGCAGAAGAGGAAAGUGGAAUUCCAUGUGUAGCGGUGAAAUGCGCAGAGGUAUGGAGGAACACCAGUGGCGAAGGCGACUUUCUGGUCUGUAACUGACGCUGAUGUGCGAAAGCGUGGGGAUCAAACAGGAUUAGAUACCCUGGUAGUCCACGCCGUAAACGAUGAGUGCUAAGUGUUAGGGGGUUUCCGCCCCUUAGUGCUGCAGCUAACGCAUUAAGCACUCCGCCUGGGGAGUACGACCGCAAGGUUGAAACUCAAAGGAAUUGACGGGGACCCGCACAAGCGGUGGAGCAUGUGGUUUAAUUCGAAGCAACGCGAAGAACCUUACCAAAUCUUGACAUCCUUUGACAACUCUAGAGAUAGAGCCUUCCCCUUCGGGGGACAAAGUGACAGGUGGUGCAUGGUUGUCGUCAGCUCGUGUCGUGAGAUGUUGGGUUAAGUCCCGCAACGAGCGCAACCCUUAAGCUUAGUUGCCAUCAUUAAGUUGGGCACUCUAAGUUGACUGCCGGUGACAAACCGGAGGAAGGUGGGGAUGACGUCAAAUCAUCAUGCCCCUUAUGAUUUGGGCUACACACGUGCUACAAUGGACAAUACAAAGGGCAGCGAAACCGCGAGGUCAGGCAAAUCCCAUAAAGUUGUUCUCAGUUCGGAUUGUAGUCUGCAACUCGACUACAUGAAGCUGGAAUCGCUAGUAAUCGUAGAUCAGCAUGCUACGGUGAAUACGUUCCCGGGUCU
RNAcentral lists this ribosomal RNA (1372 nucleotides) under uncultured bacterium. RNAcentral describes it as "bacterial SSU rRNA". It matches the Rfam family "Bacterial small subunit ribosomal RNA", at positions 28 to 1381 of the family's 1533-position model. The record is from RNAcentral.